ACCGUAAUGCAGCCUUUGACGGUCACAAGCCCGUAUGAGAAAUGCAGAGUGGGGA
RNAcentral lists this non-coding RNA (55 nucleotides) under unclassified sequences. The record is from RNAcentral.